AGUGAACGCUGGCAGUAGGCCUAACACAUGCAAGUCGAACGGCAGCACAGUAAGAGCUUGCUCUUACGGGUGGCGAGUGGCGGACGGGUGAGGAAUACAUCGGAAUCUACUUUUUCGUGGGGGAUAACGUAGGGAAACUUACGCUAAUACCGCAUACGACCUACGGGUGAAAGCAGGGGAUCUUCGGACCUUGCGCGAUUGAAUGAGCCGAUGUCGGAUUAGCUAGUUGGCGGGGUAAAGGCCCACCAAGGCGACGAUCCGUAGCUGGUCUGAGAGGAUGAUCAGCCACACUGGAACUGAGACACGGUCCAGACUCCUACGGGAGACAGCAGUGGGGAAUAUUGGACGAUGGGCGCAAGCCUGAUCCAGCCAUACCGCGUGGGUGAAGAAGGCCUUCGGGUUGUAAAGCCCUUUUGUUGGGAAAGAAAAGCAGCAGGUUAAUACCCCGCUGUUCUGACGGUACCCAAAGAAUAAGCACCGGCUAACUUCGUG
RNAcentral lists this ribosomal RNA (492 nucleotides) under uncultured bacterium. RNAcentral describes it as "partial 16S ribosomal RNA". It matches the Rfam family "Bacterial small subunit ribosomal RNA", at positions 29 to 507 of the family's 1533-position model. The record is from RNAcentral.